UUGAACGAUGGUGCGGCGGCCGGGGGAGGACGUAGGUGUGAAUGGUUGGUCGGAUGUAUUGGGGUGAAAGGGUGCGUAGGCGGGUCUAUAAGUCAGGGGUGAAAUCCGGCAGCUGAACUGUCGAUGUGCCAUUGAUACUGCAGAACUUGAGUACAGACGAGGUAGGCGGAAUUGACGGUGUAGCGGUGAAAUGCUUAGAUAUCGUCAAGAACACCGAUAGCGAAGGCAGCUUACUAGACUGUAACUGACGCUGAUGCACGAAAGUGUGGGGAUCAAACAGGAUUAGAUACCCGAGUAGUC
This 300-nucleotide ribosomal RNA is filed under the name uncultured Methanocella sp. Its description in RNAcentral is "bacterial SSU rRNA". It matches the Rfam family "Bacterial small subunit ribosomal RNA", at positions 496 to 795 of the family's 1533-position model. The record is from RNAcentral. Lineage: Archaea; Methanobacteriati; Methanobacteriota; Methanomicrobia; Methanocellales; Methanocellaceae.